RNAcentral lists this ribosomal RNA (1071 nucleotides) under Bacillus atrophaeus. RNAcentral's name for it is "bacterial SSU rRNA". It matches the Rfam family "Bacterial small subunit ribosomal RNA", at positions 154 to 1206 of the family's 1533-position model. Lineage: Bacteria; Bacillati; Bacillota; Bacilli; Caryophanales; Bacillaceae. The record is from RNAcentral.
AAACCGGGGCUAAUACCGGAUGCUUGUUUGAACCGCAUGGUUCAAACAUAAAAGGUGGCUUCGGCUACCACUUACAGAUGGACCCGCGGCGCAUUAGCUAGUUGGUGAGGUAAUGGCUCACCAAGGCAACGAUGCGUAGCCGACCUGAGAGGGUGAUCGGCCACACUGGGACUGAGACACGGCCCAGACUCCUACGGGAGGCAGCAGUAGGGAAUCUUCCGCAAUGGACGAAAGUCUGACGGAGCAACGCCGCGUGAGUGAUGAAGGUUUUCGGAUCGUAAAGCUCUGUUGUUAGGGAAAGAACAAGUGCCGGUUCAAAUAGGGCCGGCACCUUGGACGGUACCUAACCAGAAAGCCACGGCUAACUACGUGCCAGCAGCCGCGGUAAUACGUAGGUGGCAAGCGUUGUCCGGAAUUAUUGGGCGUAAAGGGCUCGCAGGCGGUUUCUUAAGUCUGAUGUGAAAGCCCCCGGCUCAACCGGGGAGGGUCAUUGGAAACUGGGGAACUUGAGUGCAGAAGAGGAGAGUGGAAUUCCACGUGUAGCGGUGAAAUGCGUAGAGAUGUGGAGGAACACCAGUGGCGAAGGCGACUCUCUGGUCUGUAACUGACGCUGAGGAGCGAAAGCGUGGGGAGCGAACAGGAUUAGAUACCCUGGUAGUCCACGCCGUAAACGAUGAGUGCUAAGUGUUAGGGGGUUUCCGCCCCUUAGUGCUGCAGCUAACGCAUUAAGCACUCCGCCUGGGGAGUACGGUCGCAAGACUGAAACUCAAAGGAAUUGACGGGGGCCCGCACAAGCGGUGGAGCAUGUGGUUUAAUUCGAAGCAACGCGAAGAACCUUACCAGGUCUUGACAUCCUCUGACACCCCUAGAGAUAGGGCUUCCCCUUCGGGGGCAGAGUGACAGGUGGUGCAUGGUUGUCGUCAGCUCGUGUCGUGAGAUGUUGGGUUAAGUCCCCGCAACGAGCGCAACCCUUGAUCUUAGUUGCCAGCAUUCAGUUGGGCACUCUAAGGUGACUGCCGGUGACAAACCGGAGGAAGGUGGGGAUGACGUCAAAUCAUCAUGCCCCUUAUG